AACGACUCUCGGCAACGGAUAUCCCGGCUCUCGCGAUCGAUGAAGAACGUACGAAAUGCGAUACUUGGUGUGAAUUGCAGAAUUCCGUGAACCAUCGAGUCUUUGAACGCAAGUUGCGCCCGAAGCCAUUAGGCCGAGGGCACGUCUGCCUGGGCGUCACGC
Molecule: ribosomal RNA, 162 nt
Filed under: Hedera colchica
Lineage: Eukaryota; Viridiplantae; Streptophyta; Magnoliopsida; Apiales; Araliaceae
Description: 5.8S ribosomal RNA
Rfam family: 5.8S ribosomal RNA
About the family: 5.8S ribosomal RNA (5.8S rRNA) is a component of the large subunit of the eukaryotic ribosome. It is transcribed by RNA polymerase I as part of the 45S precursor that also contains 18S and 28S rRNA.
Source: RNAcentral